Molecule: RNA transcript, 6095 nt
Organism: Gorilla gorilla gorilla (western lowland gorilla)
Lineage: Eukaryota; Metazoa; Chordata; Mammalia; Primates; Hominidae
Gene: TARBP1
Gene name: tRNA guanosine 2 -O-methyltransferase TARBP1
Exons: 27
Source: RefSeq, a predicted model, not a curated record
GCACGCAUCGCGCACGCCGGCGCCUUCCUUUGGGAGCCCGGGCCGGUGGCGCGGGCGCUCGGCAAAUGGAGUGCGUGCUCGCGGAAGCGCUGCUCUCGCAGAGCCGGGACCCCCGGGCCCUGCUUGGGGCGCUGUGCCAAGGGGAGGCAUCCGCGGAGCGCGUGGAGACGCUGUGCUUCCUUCUGCAGCGGCUCGAGGACGAGGAGGCGCGCGGCAGCGGGGGCGCAGGCGCGCUCCCGGAGGCGGCGCGCGAGGUGGCUGCAGGGUACCUCGUGCCACUGCUGCGGAGCCUGCGCGGACGCCCCGCGGGCGGCCCGGACCCCGGUCUGCAGCCUCGCCACCGCCGGCGCGUGCUGAGGGCGGCGGGCGCGGCCCUGCGCUCGUGCGUCCGCCUGGCCGGGCGUCCGCAGCUGGCGGCCGCGCUGGCUGAGGAGGCGCUGCGCGAUCUGCUCGCCGGGUGGCGCGCGCCUGGUGCCGAGGCUGCCGUGGAGGUGCUAGCAGCCGUCGUGCCCUGUUUGCGGCCCCGCGAGGACGGGCCGCUACUGGAGCGCGUGGCGGGGGCCGCCGUCGCCCUGGCGCUGGGCGGGGGCGGGGACGGGGAUGAGGCUGGGCCUGCCGAGGACGCGGCGGCGCUGGUGGCCGGGCGACUGCUGCCAGUGCUGGUCCAGUGCGGCGGGGCGGCGCUGCGGGCCGUGUGGGGCGGGCUGGCCGCGCCCGGGGCGUCCCCGGGGUCCGGCCGCGUAGAGGAGAAGCUGCUGGUCCUGAGCGCCCUGGCCGAGAAGCUCUUGCCCGAGCCCGGCGGCGACCGCGCCCGCGGCGCGCGCGAGGCGGGCCCGGACGCCCGGCGCUGCUGGCGCUUCUGGAGGACGGUGCAGGCGGGGCUGGGCCAGGCGGACGCCCUGACGCGCAAGCGAGCGCGCUACCUGCUGCAGAGGGCGGUAGAGGUGUCGGCGGAGCUGGGGGCCGACUGCACCUGCGGGCCCCAGGAAGGAAACGGCCCAAGUCUGUUUUGGUGGUCUGAGAAGAAAAAAGAUGAGCUUCUAAAGUUUUGGGAAAAUUAUAUUUUAAUUAUGGAGACUUUAGAAGGAAAUCAGAUACAUGUUAUAAAGCCAGUUUUACCAAAGCUAAACAAUCUGUUUGAAUAUGCGGUGUCAGAGGAAAAUGGAUGUUGGCUCUUUCACCCAUCCUGGCAUAUGUGUAUUUAUAAAAGAAUGUUUGAAAGUGAAAACAAAAUCCUGACCAAAGAAGGUGUUAUCCAUUUUUUGGAGCUGUAUGAAACAAAGAUUCUUCCAUUUUCACCAGAAUUUUCUGAGUUUAUUAUUGGACCAUUAAUGGAUGCGCUUUCAGAGAGCUCUCUGUAUAGCAGGUCCCCAGGCCAGCCAAUAGGAAGCUGUUCUCCAUUGGGACUGAAAUUGCAGAAGUUUUUAGUCACUUAUAUUUCUCUUCUUCCAGAAGAAAUAAAGAGUAGCUUCCUAUUGAAGUUUAUUCGGAAGAUGACAAGUAGGCAUUGGUGUGCUGUUCCCAUUUUGUUUCUAUCUAAGGCUUUGGCAAAUGUCCCAAGACAUAAGGCCCUGGGUAUAGAUGGGCUUCUUGCUCUCAGGGAUGUUAUUCAUUGCACUAUGAUCACACAUCAGAUUCUCCUGAGAGGGGCAGCCCAAUGCUACCUUCUUCAAACAGCUAUGAAUUUGCUAGAUGUGGAGAAAGUGUCACUUUCUGAUGUCUCAACUUUUCUCAUGUCUCUGAGACAAGAGGAAUCUUUAGGACGAGGAACUUCAUUGUGGACAGAGCUGUGUGACUGGCUACGUGUUAAUGAAAGCUAUUUUAAGCCAUCCCCUACGUGUAGCUCCAUUGGACUUCACAAGACAUCUUUAAAUGCCUAUGUAAAGAGUGUUGUUCAAGAGUAUGUUAAGUCAUCUGCUUGGGAAACAGGAGAAAACUGCUUUAUGCCUGAUUGGUUUGAAGCCAAGCUUGUUUCUCUGAUGGUCUUGCUGGCUGUGGAUGUGGAAGGAAUGAAGACUCCAUAUAGCGGAAAGCAGAGAACAGAGAAUGUAUUGCGGAUAUUCUUAGACCCUCUUCUGGAUGUGCUUAUGAAGUUUGGUACCAAUGCCUACAUGCCCGUGCUGAAGACUGACAGAUGCCUCCAGUUGCUGGUGAAGCUGUUGAACACAUGCAGGCUGAAAGGUUCCAGUGCCCAAGAUGAUGAGGUGUCUACUGUUCUUCAGAACUUUUUCAUGUCUACUACAGAGAGCAUUUCUGAAUUUAUUCUCAGAAGACUUACUAUGAAUGAGCUAAAUAGUGUUUCAGAUCUGGACCGUUGCCAUUUAUACCUGAUGGUGUUAACUGAGCUUAUAAAUCUGCAUUUGAAGGUUGGGUGGAAAAGGGGUAACCCUAUUUGGAGAGUUAUUUCUCUUUUGAAAAAUGCGUCCAUUCAGCAUCUUCAAGAGAUGGACAGUGGACAGGAGCCAACAGUUGGAAGUCAGAUUCAGAGAGUAGUGAGCAUGGCUGCCUUGGCCAUGGUGUGUGAGGCCAUAGACCAGAAGCCUGAGCUGCAGCUGGACUCUCUCCAUGCUGGGCCCCUGGAAAGCUUCCUUUCCUCUCUUCAGCUCAAUCAGACACUGCAGAAGCCCCACGCAGAGGAGCAGAGCAGUUAUGCUCACCCCUCCGAGUGCAGCAGUGUUUUGGAAGAAUCGUCUUCUUCCCAAGGAUGGGGAAAAAUAGUUGCACAAUAUAUUCAUGAUCAAUGGGUGUGCCUCUCUUUCCUGUUGAAAAAAUAUCACACCCUUAUACCAACCACAGGGAGUGAAAUUCUGGAACCGUUUCUACCUGCUGUUCAGAUGCCAAUAAGGACUUUGCAGUCUGCACUAGAAGCCCUCACAGUUCUUUCUUCUGAGCAAGUUUUACCAGUGUUCCAUUGCUUGAAAGUGUUGGUUCCCAAGCUUCUGACUUCCUCUGAAUCACUCUGCAUAGAGUCUUUUGACAUGGCUUGGAAAAUUAUAUCUUCUUUAAGCAACACUCAGCUGAUAUUCUGGCCUAAUUUAAAAGCUUUUGUUCAGUUUGUUUUUGAUAACAAAGUUCUUACCAUUGCUGCCAAAAUCAAGGGCCAGGCAUAUUUCAAAAUAAAAGAGAUUAUGUACAAGAUAAUUGAAAUGUCUGCUAUAAAGACUGGAGUCUUCAAUACACUGAUAAGUUACUGCUGUCAGUCUUGGAUAGUGUCUGCUUCAAAUGUGUCCCAAGGAUCUUUAUCAAGUGCUAAAAAUUAUAGCGAACUUAUCCUUGAGGCUUGUAUAUUUGGAACUGUGUUUAGGCGUGAUCAAAGACUUGUUCAGGAUGUACAGACCUUCAUAGAAAACCUUGGACAUGACUGUGCGGCAAAUAUUGUUAUGGAAAAUACUAAGAGAGAAGAUCAUUAUGUGAGAAUUUGUGCUGUCAAAUUCCUGUGUUUAUUAGAUGGCUCCAAUAUGUCCCACAAGUUGUUUAUGGAGGAUCUUGCAAUCAAGCUAUUAGAUAAAGAUGAAUUAGUGUCCAAGUCCAAAAAACGCUACUAUGUGAAUUCUCUACAGCACAGAGUGAAAAACCGAGUGUGGCAGACUCUGCUGGUACUUUUCCCUAGACUUGAUCAGAAUUUCUUGAAUGGAAUUAUUGACAGGAUUUUCCAGGCUGGUUUCACCAACAAUCAAGCAUCCAUAAAAUAUUUUAUAGAAUGGAUUAUUAUAUUGAUUCUUCAUAAAUUCCCUCAAUUUCUUCCAAAGUUCUGGGAUUGUUUUUCUUAUGGUGAAGAAAAUCUUAAAACAAGCAUUUGUACAUUUUUAGCAGUUUUAUCACAUUUGGACAUUAUUACUCAAAAUAUUCCAGAAAAGAAACUAAUUCUGAAGCAAGCCCUUAUUGUUGUGCUGCAGUGGUGUUUCAAUCACAAUUUUAGUGUUCGACUGUAUGCUUUAGUUGCUCUUAAGAAACUCUGGACUGUGUGUAAAGUGUUAAGUGUUGAAGAAUUUGAUGCCCUGACUCCUGUGAUUGAAUCCAGCCUCCAUCAAGUGGAAAGCAUGCACGGAGCAGGGAAUGCCAAGAAGAAUUGGCAACGCAUUCAAGAGCAUUUCUUUUUUGCAACAUUUCACCCACUCAAGGAUUAUUGUCUGGAGGCAGUGUCUGGCUUGUAAACAAUGGAAGGGAAUAUUUAACUCUAAACAGAAAUCUGUUCUGACAUUAAAAGGAAAUGAGUGAGAACAUUUGUGCAGCGCCCAGAAUGCUUUGUCCGGCAUCUUUCUGCAGGACUCCUCUAGUCACUCCCUAGUGUUAAGUCAACCUUUUUCUAUUCAGUCCUCCAACAGGAGUAAGUCCUUUGCCUCCUUCCUGCCCUCCCUCAUCCUUACCUUUGACCACCUCACUCUCAUAUGUUUUAUGAUUUAUUCUCCAGUCAUGAAAUGAAUUAAAAGUGUAUGUGUAAAUAAAAUAAUGGGGCUUAAUUGUUCACAGGAACUGUAUCUCUUCAUGUAUUUGUUUUUUUUGUUUUUAUUUUAUUAUUAUUAUACUUUAAGUUUUAGGUUACAUGUGCACAAUGUGCAGGUUAGUUACAUAUGUAUACAUGUGCCAUGCUGGUGUGCUGCACCCAUUAACUCGUCAUUUAGCAUUAGUUAUAUCUCCUAAAGCUAUCCCUCCCCCCUCCCCUCACCCCACAACAGUCCCCAGAGUGUAAUGUUCCCCUUCCUGUGUCCAUGUGUUCUCAUUGUUCAGUUUCCAUGUGUGAGUGAGAAUAUGCGGUGUUUGGUUUUUCGUUCUUGCGAUAGUUUACUGAGAAUGAUGAUUUCCAAUUUCAUCCACGUCCCUACAAAGGACAUGAACUCAUCAUUUUUUAUGGCCUCAUAGUAUUCCAUGGUGUAUAUGUGCCACAUUUUCUUAAUCCAGUCUAUCAUUGUUGGACAUUUGGGUUGGUUCCAAGUCUUUGCUAUUGUGAAUAGUGCCGCAGUAAACAUACGUGUGCAUGUGUCUUUAUAGCAGCAUGAUUUAUAGUCCUUUGGGUAUAUACCCAGUAAUGGGAUGGCUGGGUCAAAUGGUAUUUCUAGUUCUAGAUCCCUGAGGAAUUGCCACACUGACUUCCACAAUGGUUGAACUAGUUUACAGUCUUCAUGUAUUUGGAGCUGUACUUGGUGCCCCCUACUUGAUGCCCCCUUAAUCAACAUGUAGUCGUGAUCAUUGUGCCAGUUUAAGUUUGCACAGAUAUAGCUAGCGUGAAGAAAACCAUAUUCAUUCUAAAACCUUUCAUGAAGACAUGUGCAUUGCUGCUAAGAGUAUUGUUUCAUUUUUAAGUUGCCUGUUACUUGGACCUCUGCUUCCUAUGUACUUUUUUCACUGUUGGUCAUUUUUAUGGUGCAGUUCUUUUAGUAGGUAAGAAAAGCAAAGGAGGAUUGCUUAUGCGAUGACCGUUUACAGUGGUGUCAGACUAUGCCGUUUUCAUGAACACUUUAAUAUGCUGUUGUAAUCUGAUUUUAUCCUCGUCUUACAAAUGAGGAAGUUGAAGCCAAGAAAGGCUGAAUCACUUGCCUAAGGUCACACAACUAAUUAUAUUAGUCAAACCAGAAUUCAGAUUCUAAAUUUAUCUAAUGGGUACGAGAGUAAAAGACUUGUCAUGAAAAGAGCUUGAACUUGAUUGCCUUUGGAGGUAUUUAGUUGUCAGUAAAUUGCACUUAUCCAAAUACUGUCCAUCAUUAGAACUGAUUACUUCUGAAACACUGUUUUUAUUAGGCACAUACUGGUUUAUUACACACAGUUAGAAGUACCAGAGUACAAGUUCUGCCUCCUCUCAGGGAUUCCCUAAAUUAAUCCCCUAAUUUCUGAGAAGAUGAGAAAUAUAUAUAGACAGUUGCUAUAAGAUAUAAAUGAAAGUAUAUAGUUUGAUCAGAUGUAAUAGUUUGGAGAAUAUAUCAUUAAUAAUUAAGUUGUAUUUUAAAUGUUAUAUAUUUCUUUGUUAUUUUUAAGGGAAGAAAUUUAGAUUUUAUAAUUCUCUUUUCAGACCGUAUUUUACAUCCUUCCACGCCUUUCAGGCCUUAUUGAAGAUGAAUGGAUCACCAUUGAUAAAUUUACCAGAUUCACUGAUGUUCCUU